GUGUGUAAAGGCCUAUAGACAGUGAUACAGUAGGUUAGUGAGGGUGUGUAAAGGCCUAUAGACAGUGAUACAGUAGGUUAGUGAGGGUGUGUAAAGGCCUAUAGACAGUGAUACAGCAGGUUAGUGAGGGUGUGUAAAGGCCUAUAGACAGUGAUACAGUAGGUUAGUGAGGGUGUGUAAAGGCCUAUAGACAGUGAUACAGUAGGUUAGUGAGGGUGUGUAAAGGCCUACAGACAGUGAUACAGUAGGUUAGUGAGGGUGUGUAAAGGCCUACAGACUGUGAUACAGUAGGUUAGUGAGGGUGUGUAAAGGCCUACAGACAGUGAUACAGUAGGUUAGUGAGGGUGUGUAAAGGCCUAUAGACAGUGAUAUAGCAGGUUAGUGAGGGUGUGUAAAGGCCUAUAGACAGUGAUACAGUAGGUGUGUAAAGGCCUAUAGACAGUGAUACAGUAGGUUAGUGAGGGUGUGUAAAGGCCUAUAGACAGUGAUACAGUAGGUUAGUGAGGGUGUGUAAAGGCCUAUAGACAGUGAUACAGCAGGUUAGUGAGGGUGUGUAAAGGCCUAUAGACAGUGAUACAGUAGGUUAGUGAGGGUGUGUAAAGGCCUACAGACAGUGAUACAGUAGGUUAGUGAGGGUGUGUAAAGGCCUAUAGACAGUGAUACAGCAGGUUAGUGAGGGUGUGUAAAGGCCUAUAGACAGUGAUACAGUAGGUGUGUAAAGGCCUAUAGACAGUGAUACAGUAGGUUAGUGAGGGUGUGUAAAGGCCUAUAGCCAGUGAUACAGUAGGUUAGUGAGGGUGUGUAAAGGCCUAUAGACAGUGAUACAGUAGGUGUGUAAAGGCCUAUAGCCAGUGAUACAGUAGGUUAGUGAGGGUGUGUAAAGGCCUACAGACUGUGAUACAGUAGGUUAGUGAGGGUGUGUAAAGGCCUACAGACAGUGAUACAGUAGGUUAGUGAGGGUGUGUAAAGGCCUACAGACUGUGAUACAGUAGGUUAGUGAGGGUGUGUAAAGGCCUAUAGACAGUGAUACAGUAGGUUAGUGAGGGUGUGUAAAGGCCUAUAGACAGUGAUACAGCAGGUUAGUGAGGGUGUGUAAAGGCCUAUAGACAGUGAUACAGUAGGUGUGUAAAGGCCUAUAGACAGUGAUACAGUAGGUUAGUGAGGGUGUGUAAAGGCCUAUAGACAGUGAUACAGUAGAAUAGUGAGGGUGUGUAAAGGCCUAUAGACAGUGAUACAGUAGGUUAGUGAGGGUGUGUAAAGGCCUAUAGACAGUGAUACAGUAGGUUAGUGAGGGUGUGUAAAGGCCUAUAGACAGUGAUACAGCAGGUUAGUGAGGGUGUGUAAAGGCCUAUAGACAGUGAUACAGUAGGUUAGUGAGGGUGUGUAAAGGCCUAUAGACAGUGAUACAGUAGGCUAGUUGAGGCCUCUCUGAAGAGGUGAUCCAGAAACACUGAGGCCAUAAUGGAUAAGUGGGCUCGGGCAGGCGAUCAAUUCCACUAUUAAUGAAAAAUAUUAACGUUGUCAUUUAAUCAAUAAGGGGACAAAUAGGCUUUAAGUAAAUGAACGUAUAGCACAACCAAGACUAAUGUGAGAGAGG
Molecule: long non-coding RNA, 1597 nt
Organism: Esox lucius (northern pike)
Lineage: Eukaryota; Metazoa; Chordata; Actinopteri; Esociformes; Esocidae
Exons: 3
Source: RefSeq, a predicted model, not a curated record